GGAAUAUGACUGACACGAAUUUAAGGAUAAGACUACAGGAAAGUCUUGAUAUCAUGAAUGAGAGCCUCUAGUUCCCAAGGGAUAGGAGCUAGAGGAGAUAACACCAAUUGGCAAAGCUGUAGGGAAUCAGUCUCAAUUUGGCAUGAAAAAAAAGAUCUAUUGAUGGCAAACAAAAUAGUUGCUUUCAAAGCUGAACCUUCUGCUGAGAGAGGAGAAAGACUGAUAAACGAAGCUGCACAGCCAUCAACAACUAUACCUGCUGAAUUUCUCACUACAACACCAUAACCAGCAGCUGAAGAAACAUAAUCAAAAGAGGCAUCAACAUUAAUUU
RNAcentral lists this unclassified non-coding RNA (331 nucleotides) under Hevea brasiliensis (rubber tree). Lineage: Eukaryota; Viridiplantae; Streptophyta; Magnoliopsida; Malpighiales; Euphorbiaceae. The record is from RNAcentral.